RNAcentral lists this ribosomal RNA (401 nucleotides) under uncultured bacterium. RNAcentral describes it as "bacterial SSU rRNA". It matches the Rfam family "Bacterial small subunit ribosomal RNA", at positions 975 to 1375 of the family's 1533-position model. The record is from RNAcentral.
CAAGUCUUGACAUCCCUCUGAAUCCUCUAGAGAUAGAGGCGGCCUUCGGGACAGAGGUGACAGGUGGUGCAUGGUUGUCGUCAGCUCGUGUCGUGAGAUGUUGGGUUAAGUCCCGCAACGAGCGCAACCCUUUUCCUUAUUUGCCAGCGAGUAAUGUCGGGAACUUUAAGGAUACUGCCAGUGACAAACUGGAGGAAGGCGGGGAUGACGUCAAGUCAUCAUGGCCCUUACGGCCAGGGCUACACACGUGCUACAAUGGUCGGUACAAAGGGUUGCUACCUAGCGAUAGGAUGCUAAUCUCAAAAAGCCGAUCGUAGUCCGGAUUGGAGUCUGCAACUCGACUCCAUGAAGUCGGAAUCGCUAGUAAUCGCGGAUCAGAAUGCCGCGGUGAAUACGUUCCC